GCUGGGGGAAUAAGGAGAGGGCAAGUCUGGUGUCAGCCGCCGCGGUAAUACCAGCUCUCCGAGUGGUGUGGACGUUUAUUGGGCCUAAAGCAUCCGUAGCUGGCUGAACAAGUCCCCUGUUAAACCCACCGAUUUAAUCGUUGGUCUGCGGGGGAUACUGCUCGGCUAGGGGACGAGAGAGGCAGACGGUAUUCCCGGGGUGGGGGUGAAAUCCUAUAAUCCCGAGAAGACCACCAGUGGCGAAGGCUGUCUGCUAGAACGCGCCCGACGGUGAGGGAUGAAAGCUGGGGGAGCGAACCGGAUUAGAUACCCGGGUAGUCCCAGCUGUAAACGAUGCAGACUAGGUGUUUGGACGGCCACGUGCCGUUCUAGUGCCGCAGGGAAGCUGUUAAGUCUGCCGCCUGGGGAGUACGAUCGCAAGAUUGAAACUUAAAGGAAUUGGCGGGGGAGCACCACAAGGGGUGAAGCUUGCGGUUUAAUUGGAGUCAACGCCGGAAAUCUCACCGGGAGCGACAGCAGUGUGAAGGCCAGAUUAAAGGUCUUGCCAGACGAGCUGAGAGGUAGUGCAUGGCC
RNAcentral lists this ribosomal RNA (573 nucleotides) under uncultured archaeon. Its description in RNAcentral is "bacterial SSU rRNA". It matches the Rfam family "Archaeal small subunit ribosomal RNA", at positions 426 to 999 of the family's 1478-position model. The record is from RNAcentral.